GAAGACUUGCUGCAGUCUCGAGAAACAAGGACUUCCAGUCUUCAGGUCACCUCAUCAGGAGAUAACCAGGUCUUCCUUAGUGCAUUGCAAGAACUUGUCUGGAGCAGGCCAUUCCUGGAUUGCAAGGUUGGUAAGCUAUUACUCAGCUAUACUGUUAUUUUUAGGAAGUUGUUAUUGGCGGAUCUAAAUUUUUCUCACACUGAGCUAUGAUGUUAACUUCAGUUUAAAAACUUUGGUUUAGGUACAAGUUCCACAACAUAGUAAUUUCGGUUGUGUCAUGGUUUGCAUUUUUUCUGUCAGGUUUGUAUUUUAGAAAAGAGGAUAGCUCUGAAUUGGAAAGUUCAAUUUACUGCAUGUUAUUGGCUUAUUAUGUAUUUAUACUGUAUCAUAAAAACUGCUUAUACUGCCAAAGUGAUACACCACCUUUGCUACAAGGCUAGAAUAUUUUUCCAGUAUGAAGAGGAGCAGGUACACUGUAGAAAGCUAAGUAUGUAAGUACUUCAGGCAAGCAACAGUUGUAGGUUUCUAUAGCUAUGUUAUAUAGAUGUGUUUAUACUGACAUUCUUUUAAGAAUACCUUCCCCUUAAUGGAAUACUUAGUGUUAGCUUUAACUAUAUAACUUCUCUUAAAAAGUUCUAAAUACAAAUUCAGCUUCACAGAGAGGAAAAGAAAAAAAGCUGCUUGAAUGGUGUAGGUCACACAUAUGCACUUAUUUACUCCCACCCAUAUUUUGACGUGAAAUCAAGUAUGCUUACUGUGGCAUAGGAGAUAAGUUUAUGUGAUGGACUUUUGUGCAAAAUACCCAAACUCCCUCUAGCGAGUCUGUAUGUUAUUGCAGCUUUCAAGUACACCAGUCACUGUAGCUGAAGGUUUUAAACUUCUGUAUUUGGCCCCAUUAGUGAAAGCUGCGAGUCUGAACUCGCCCAAAGCCAAGUGCAGGACCUUAGUUUUACUCAGUGGUAACUAACCGGGGCUGUUAAAAAGGUUCCCAUUGUUGGAGACAGAGCAGGACACCAGGAAAAUAAAAUUACCGUGAGGCAAUACCUUGUUUAAAUGAGAGCAUGCAGACUGAUGGAAAGCUGUAUUUUACUUGAAGCAUACUUAGCACAAAAUGAUCAGUUAUAAACUUAGAAAAAAGUUUUCUCCCUACUGAGAAAGUUUGAUUCUUUAAUGGUAAAAAUCAAGUUCAUCUUCAACAUUAAUGUUUAUCUCAUGGGAAGAAUAGUUGAGAAUGAAUGUGACAAGGGACAAAAAGUAAUUCUCCCAUGUGGUCAUACUACCAUUUCUGCAUUAAACUUCAAGAGAUCUGUUAACAUUUUUUCACUUGACACACAAUACUAUUUGACGUAAUUUAAGGCAUUUAAUACGCUACACAGAUUAAAUACCAGCUGUAUCUAUAUCAGACAGCAGGGGAGGCCCAGCACUUUGUAGUUUGUAACAUGGAACCGCUCCAUUUUAAUAUACGGAUUUAUCCUAUGUAACUAUGUAAUCAUUUAAGGUGGUCUUAGCAAGAAGGGAAUUAUAUUUGUGUUUUCACAGCACAGCAACUAAACCUCCAUUUAGGACGUUCAAGGAAAUUCCAUUUCCUGUCUUCAGGCAAAAAAUAGUGUUGAGAGAUGUGAGUAAUCAGAAUAGGAGCUCACUGCACAGCAUCUAAUUUCAACUGGGUUACUCCUGACAGCUGGUUUCACAUCUGAUCACUAGGUAAAUGAAACAGACUCUGCUAGUGAAAGACAAGAUACAAAUAGAUAACACUGUAAGUGGUGUUCCUGCCAACACCACAAAACCAGAUAGCAUUCCUAUAAAGGAUACUCUUCAGAAGCAUGUUAGUCACAUAAUUUAAUGUCCAGUUAAUCUCCAUGAGGUAAUAGUGAUUUCCUGAAUCACGCAGUGUUACAUUAGGCCAAAGUGCCUCCUAUCUGAGAUAAAAUCAAAACAUGUUACAGCCACUGGGAUUCUCCCUCCUCCCCCAAAUAUUCAUGUCAUCCUGAACUAACAAUGUAGUGCUUUUUCAGCUUUCAAAAAGCUAAGUAAACUCCAUUUUACAUACUUUGCGGGUGUGUGUGCAUAUACACACACAUGCGCGCGCGCACACACACACACACAACUGGCUAUUAUAUACAGUGAUUUGCAAUAGAAGCAAUAAGCCUCACAAAGUAGUGACUUACAGUACAAGUUCAGAUUUCUCCCCAGACAAUCAGAGAAGUCAUUUUUGUAGGCAUUUGACACAUUAAUUAAAAAAAUCAUGAGAACACAAUUUAGAAGCAUGGCUGGAAAACAGGUAAGGUACAGUCUGCAGCCUUAGCUGGAUGUAUAGGAUUGUGCAGUACAUGCUAAAACCAACAGAUUAAUGGGUAGGGGAGGCUACACAGAAGGAAGGUCCUGCUUAAUGGAUCCAUGCACAAAGGAAGAACAGGGUCUUACAGUAAUGACAUACACCAACAUUUCCUUCUUUAAUUCUAGGGGCCACAGAAUUAGCAGCAGUAAUCAAAUGAGUCUGUGACCACAAGGAAAAGAGCUUCCUUUCAGACACGCAUUACUCAGCAUUAUAGUUUCAAGGCUGAAGCACAACAGAGGGCAAAACCCCCCAGAUCUAUUCAAGGGAACAGCUUGUAAACAAAAGUGGCAAAGUGAGCUCACUGUAGUGUUAAGUGUGUUCAGACACCACAUCGGAAAGUUGUGCUGUCUCACCAGGUCCUAACUAUUAGUGUAAACGCAGAGGUGCUGCUGAAGUUGCAGAGUUUGGCUUAAAAAAGAAACCUACCCCCCUCUCCCCAGCCUAGCUGGAGAGUUGAAGGUUAAUCCAGGUAGAAAAAAAAAAAUCCCUUAAGCAU
Haliaeetus leucocephalus (bald eagle) is the source of this 2834-nucleotide long non-coding RNA. RefSeq lists it as uncharacterized. The transcript is spliced from 2 exons. The record is from RefSeq and is a predicted model, not a curated record. Lineage: Eukaryota; Metazoa; Chordata; Aves; Accipitriformes; Accipitridae.